AUGAAAGCGUCAAGAUGAGCAGGUUACAGGGCAACUUUCAGGAGUCCAUUUUCAACCUAACGGCCACAGUCUUUAAAAGGAAACCAACGGACCCUCCUUCUCCCAGUAGUCAUCAGUUGCCGGAGCGCUCCUAAGCAAGAGGUGAGAAUUCAUCACCACCUCCGCACCCCAUGCUGAGAUUUUGUCUGGCUUCACCACUCAGAGGACUUGUGCCUGCUGUCACAAUCGCUGAACGAGGGAUUGACAUUGGGAAGGCAGUAAUUUCCUAGGUGAAUCAACCGAAGUUUGCAGGACUGAUGGAUGGGAAUGAAAAACGAGCAUCAUUAUUUGGUUUAUGGAUGACAUAGUCACCAUUGGGUGAUAUGUGGUGUGAAGAACUGCACGUGUGUGGGUUUCAUCCCCGACACCAUCCCCAGCACACACGUGUGUGUUCAGACCCUGAUCCUAAAACCCACACAGUGUGACUUCAUGCCUCACAAACCUUAAUGGCAAAUCCCAAAGUCUUCCUCGGUCCUUGAUCUUCUUGUCACCAGCAAAAUGAUCCCUCCUUCCUGUUACUUUCUGCAUUGGGGCAGUGGUGCGGGAGAAUUAUCUGUAUUCUGUCAAUCAUAUUUUAAUAAAACACUGAUUGG
Molecule: non-coding RNA, 632 nt
Organism: Myodes glareolus (Bank vole)
Lineage: Eukaryota; Metazoa; Chordata; Mammalia; Rodentia; Cricetidae
Source: RefSeq, a predicted model, not a curated record